Molecule: ribosomal RNA, 253 nt
Filed under: uncultured bacterium
Lineage: Bacteria
Description: partial 16S ribosomal RNA
Rfam family: Bacterial small subunit ribosomal RNA
Source: RNAcentral
UACGUAGGGUGCGAGCGUUAAUCGGAAUUACUGGGCGUAAAGCGUGCGCAGGCGGUUUUGUAAGCCAGGUGUGAAAUCCCCGGGCUCAACCUGGGAAUGGCAUUUGGGACUGCAAGGCUGGAGUGCGGCAGAGGAGACUGGAAUUCCUGGUGUAGCAGUGAAAUGCGUAGAUAUCAGGAGGAACACCGAUGGCGAAGGCAGGUCUCUGGCUGGACACUGACGCUCAUGCACGAAAGCGUGGGGAGCAAACAGG